Molecule: non-coding RNA, 72 nt
Organism: Fusarium solani
Lineage: Eukaryota; Fungi; Ascomycota; Sordariomycetes; Hypocreales; Nectriaceae
Source: Rfam
GUAGAUGUAGUUCAAUGGUAGAACGAUUAAUUGUGGUUUAAUAGGCUCUAGGUUCGAUUCCUAGUAUUUACC